UCCCUAGUUGUCCAGUGGCCAAGACUCUGCACUCCCAAAGUAGGGGACCCAGGUUCAAUUCCUGAUCAGGGAA
This is a transfer RNA of Ovis aries (sheep), 73 nucleotides long. It matches the Rfam family "tRNA". From Rfam's summary of the family: Transfer RNA (tRNA) molecules are approximately 80 nucleotides in length. Lineage: Eukaryota; Metazoa; Chordata; Mammalia; Artiodactyla; Bovidae. The record is from Rfam.